UGUACAGAGGAUUUGAUCCUGGUCCAGGAUGAAUGCUGGCAGCGUGGAUUAGGCAUACAAGUUGAACGAUCUAGUUAAGUUUUCGCAAGAAAAUUUAACUAGAUAGUAGCGAACGGGCUUUUAUUACCUUGGUAACAUACCCUGAAGUGGGGCAUAGCUCAUCGAAAGAUGAGGUAAUUCCCCAUAGUCUGAUAAUCAGUUAGAUUAUCAGUAAAGACGCAAGUCGCUUCAGGAUUGGCUUAGGUCUUAUCAGCUAGUUGGUAGGGUAAUGGCCUACCAAGGCUAUGACAAGUAGGGGGUGUGAGAGCAUGACCCCCAGCAAGGGCACUGAGACACGGGCCCUACUCCUACGGGAGGCAGUAGCCGAGAAUCUUUGGCAAUGGGCGAAAGCCUGACCGAGCGACGCUGCGUGCAGGAUGGAGGUCUUCGGAUUGUAAACUGCUUUUUUCACCGAAGAAUUACUGACGUUAGGUGAAGAAUAAGGGACUGCUAACUACGUGCCAGCAGCCGCGGUAAUACGUAGGUCCCGAGCAUUAUCCGGAUUUAUUGGGCGUAAAGCGUCCUUAGGUGGUCCGGCCACUUUAGUGGACUUGCUUAUCUAUAUUUUAUAGUUAAGCAAGCAAGUUCUAAGUUAAAGACCAGAGCUUAACUCUGGAAGUGCUUAGAAUACUGACGGACUUGAGGGAGAAAGAAGUGAGUGGAACACACGGUGUAGGGGUGAAAUCCGUUGAUAUCGUGUGGAACACCGAAAGCGAAAGCAACUCACUAGGGCUUACCUGACACUCAAAGACGAAAGCGUGGGGAGCAAAAAGGAUUAGAUACCCUUGUAGUCCACGCCCUAAACUAUGGAUGCUAACUAUUGGUAGUAUCGACCCUAUCAGUGGUGAAGUUAACGCGUUAAGCAUCCCGCCUGGGAAGUACGGCCGCAAGGCUAAAACUCAAAGGAAUAGACCGGAACUCGCACAAGCGGUGGAACAUAGGGUUUAAUUCGAGGUCAAACGAAGAACCUUACCAGGGUUAGAAACUCCUAGGAAAAUCUAACGAAAGUUAGACCUUCCGCAAGGACCUAGGGGUCAGGUGCUGCAUGGUUGUCGUCGGCUCGUGGCGUGAGUCGUUCCCUUCAGUGGGGAAACGAGCGCAACCCCUGCUCUGUGUUAUAUGUGUCACAGAGAACCGCCCCUGCCUAAGUUUUUGAGUACUUUUUAAGAUUGAAUACUAACUCAAAAAUUUUGGCAGGGGAGGAAGGAGGGGAUGACGACAAAUCCGCAUGGCCCUUUGAUGCCCUGGGCUACACUUAUGUUACAAUGGGAUGGACAAUGUGUUGCCAAACCGUAAGGUGGAGCUAAUCACAACAAACCAUUCCUUAGUUCGGAUUGAGGGCUGCAACCCGCCCUCAUGAAGCCGGAAUCGCUAGUAAUCGCGGGUCAGCCAUACCGCGGUGAAUACGUUCUCGAGUUCUGUACUCACCGCCUGUCAAGUCAAGGGAGUCGGGAAUAGCUGAACCCCGCCUAAGUUUUUGAGUAGUGGAAAUUGGAAACUCAAAAAUUUUGGCGGGGUAAGCUAGGCUCGAUGACAGGGGCUAAGUCAUAACAAGGCACCACUAGCGGAAGCUGGGGGUGAAACUUUUCUUUU
This 1632-nucleotide ribosomal RNA is filed under the name Minisyncoccota bacterium. RNAcentral's name for it is "bacterial SSU rRNA". It matches the Rfam family "Bacterial small subunit ribosomal RNA". Lineage: Bacteria; Bacillati; Minisyncoccota. The record is from RNAcentral.